GACGAACGCUGGCGGCGUGCCUAACACAUGCAAGUCGAACGAAGCACUGUGGAUAGAGACUUCGGUCAAUUGAAGCUUUGACUUAGUGGCGGACGGGUGAGUAACGCGUGAGGAACCUGCCUUUCAGAGGGGGACAACAGUUGGAAACGACUGCUAAUACCGCAUGACACAGCGAGAUCGCAUGGUCUUGCUGUCAAAGAUUUAUCGCUGAAAGAUGGCCUCGCGUCUGAUUAGAUAGUUGGUGAGGUAACGGCCCACCAAGUCGACGAUCAGUAGCCGGACUGAGAGGUUGAACGGCCACAUUGGGACUGAGAUACGGCCCAGACUCCUACGGGAGGCAGCAGUGGGGAAUAUUGGGCAAUGGCGCAAGCCUGACCCAGCAACGCCGCGUGAAGGAAGAAGGCUUUCGGGUUGUAAACUUCUUUUAAGAGGGAAGAGCAGAAGACUGUACUCUAGAAUAAGCCACGGCUAACUACGUGCCAG
This 483-nucleotide ribosomal RNA is filed under the name uncultured bacterium. RNAcentral describes it as "bacterial SSU rRNA". It matches the Rfam family "Bacterial small subunit ribosomal RNA", at positions 28 to 511 of the family's 1533-position model. The record is from RNAcentral.